AGCUACACUUGGAGCAACCAAAGAUUGCUCAACUCUUGGUUUAUCGAUAAGUGCUGCACAAUCAAAGUAAAACCAACGCCAACAACGCUCGUGUAGAUAUGAGCCAAUCAAACUUUCAAUCUGUAUCAUGAUCAGGCUGUAUUCCUGAGAGAGCAACCGUGCCUGACGUUCAAGUUCUUGUCAGCAUUUGAUGGUGCAGCUGUCGUCUUUCCUUGCUGUUCAGUUAUGGUGCUCAUUCAAGUCAUUGCUACUUCUGGUGGUCUAAGUGUGUCAGAUGACAGAAAUCAGCAGACGUGUGCACCUGCUGGGUUUCCCGGAUUACCUGGAUUGCCAGGAUGAGAUGGAAGAAACGGAGAAAAAGGGGUGAAAGGAGAG
Molecule: long non-coding RNA, 375 nt
Organism: Corticium candelabrum
Lineage: Eukaryota; Metazoa; Porifera; Homoscleromorpha; Homosclerophorida; Plakinidae
Exons: 3
Source: RefSeq, a predicted model, not a curated record